Molecule: ribosomal RNA, 253 nt
Filed under: uncultured bacterium
Lineage: Bacteria
Description: partial 16S ribosomal RNA
Rfam family: Bacterial small subunit ribosomal RNA
Source: RNAcentral
UACGUAGGGUGCAAGCGUUGUCCGGAAUUAUUGGGCGUAAAGAGCACGUAGGCGGUUUGUUGCGUCGGCUGUGAAAUCCCGAGGCUCAACCUCGGGUCUGCAGUCGAUACGAGCAAACUAGAGUGUUGCAGGGGAGACUGGAAUUCCUGGUGUAGCGGUGAAAUGCGCAGAUAUCAGGAGGAACACCAAUGGCGAAGGCAGCACUCUGGGACGUGACUGACGCUGAGACGCGAAAGCGUGGGGAGCAAACAGG